GAAGAGCCUAUAUAUGAGGACAUGGCAACCGAGAACCGCCGCAGGAUAGCGAUGUUGAAAACCAGCCGAUAGACCCCGAGUUAUGGAAAGAUGGCGAUAUUGUUACGAUAACCAAGCCGGGGCCAUACAAGAUUACUGCUUUGGUGUGUGACAAAUGGCCAACAGUUGCAGAGACAGAAACACCCGAGGAGGCUGCUGAAACUAUGAUUGACGGAGCCCUUGCCGGAGGUGAUUCAGAAACGAAGGACACAAACGGGGUGUCAAUGGUAAAACCCAAAGAACAUGGCGAGGAAGGUGCUACGGGGUCCGACGGUGCGUCAGCUGAGGAUGAUGAUAAUUCAGAAUCAGACGAGGACAUCUUCAGAGGCUGAAGAGAGGCGGCCUUUAAGCAGAACAACCGUAAUAUGUACCUGUUGUUUUUGUGUGAAGCAAGAUGUUAAAAAAAAGUCUGUAAAAAGUAAGGAGAGUGACCAGAAAAGCUGUGAAGAAGAAGAUGCCGUUAUGGUUGAUAUUAUUAGAGCUGUUGUAGUAAAAGCCUUUUACCACUGUUUGAAAAAACAACUUUUGGAAAACUGUGCAGCCUGCGCUGUAAAUAAGUCCAACCCUUUUAGUCACCCUUGUAUUUUUUGGGAUCGCUCAGAAGUAUUUUACCAGCUUAGACGUAUUUCUUCUAAACUGAAUGCGGCCCAGCUUGUAAAUAUAAUUAUAGCUGAAGGCUACAAACUGAAAAAG
Long non-coding RNA from Gopherus flavomarginatus (Mexican gopher tortoise), 732 nucleotides. RefSeq lists it as uncharacterized. The record is from RefSeq and is a predicted model, not a curated record. The transcript has 5 exons. NCBI's taxonomy places the organism in Eukaryota, Metazoa, Chordata, Testudines, Testudinidae.